RNAcentral lists this ribosomal RNA (253 nucleotides) under uncultured bacterium. RNAcentral's name for it is "partial 16S ribosomal RNA". It matches the Rfam family "Bacterial small subunit ribosomal RNA", at positions 524 to 776 of the family's 1533-position model. The record is from RNAcentral.
UACAGAGGCCACAAGCGUUAUUCGGAAUCACUGGGCUUAAAGGGUGCGUAGGCGGGUCCGUAAGUGCUUUGUGAAAUCCCUCGGCUCAACCGGGGAAUUGCAGGGCAUACUGCGGGUCUUGAGGAAGGUAGGGGUCGCGAGAACAGUAGGUGGAGCGGUGAAAUGCGUAGAUAUCUACUGGAAUGCCGAUGGUGAAGACGCGCGACUGGGCCUUUCCUGACGCUGAGGCACGAAAGCGUGGGGAGCAAACAGG